UGGGGAAUUUUGGACAAUGGGCGAAAGCCUGAUCCAGCAAUGCCGCGUGUGUGAAGAAGGCCUUCGGGUUGUAAAGCACUUUUUGUCCGGAAAGAAAUCCUUGGCUCUAAUACAGUCGGGGGAUGACGGUACCGGAAGAAUAAGCACCGGCUAACUACGUGCCAGCAGCCGCGGUAAUACGUAGGGUGCAAGCGUUAAUCGGAAUUACUGGGCGUAAAGCGUGCGCAGGCGGUUUGCUAAGACCGAUGUGAAAUCCCCGGGCUCAACCUGGGAACUGCAUUGGUGACUGGCAGGCUAGAGUAUGGCAGAGGGGGGUAGAAUUCCACGUGUAGCAGUGAAAUGCGUAGAGAUGUGGAGGAAUACCGAUGGCGAAGGCAGCCCCCUGGGCCAAUACUGACGCUCAUGCACGAAAGCGUGGGGAGCAAAACAGGAUUAGAUACCCUGGUAGUCCACGCCCUAAACGAUGUCAACUAGUUGUUGGGGAUUCAUUUCCUUAGUAACGUAGCUAACGCGUGAAGUUGACCGCCUGGGGAGUACGGUCGCAAGAUUAAAACUCAAAU
This 560-nucleotide ribosomal RNA is filed under the name uncultured bacterium. RNAcentral describes it as "partial 16S ribosomal RNA". It matches the Rfam family "Bacterial small subunit ribosomal RNA", at positions 355 to 906 of the family's 1533-position model. The record is from RNAcentral.